This 492-nucleotide ribosomal RNA is filed under the name uncultured bacterium. RNAcentral's name for it is "partial 16S ribosomal RNA". It matches the Rfam family "Bacterial small subunit ribosomal RNA", at positions 29 to 507 of the family's 1533-position model. The record is from RNAcentral.
AGUGAACGCUGGCGGUAGGCCUAACACAUGCAAGUCGAACGGCAGCACAGUAAGGGCUUGCUCUUACGGGUGGCGAGUGGCGGACGGGUGAGGAAUACAUCGGAAUCUACUUUUUCGUGGGGGAUAACGUAGGGAAACUUACGCUAAUACCGCAUACGACCUACGGGUGAAAGCAGGGGAUCUUCGGACCUUGCGCGAUUGAAUGAGCCGAUGUCGGAUUAGCUAGUUGGCGGGGUAAAGGCCCACCAAGGCGACGAUCCGUAGCUGGUCUGAGAGGAUGAUCAGCCACACUGGAACUGAGACACGGGCCAGACUCCUACGGGAGGCAGCAGUGGGGAAUAUUGGACAAUGGGCGGAAGCCUGAUCCAGCCAUACCGCGUGGGUGAAGAAGGCCUUCGGGUUGUAAAGCCCUUUUGUUGGGAAAGAAAAGCAGCAGGUUAAUACCCCGCUGUUCUGACGGUACCCAAAGAAUAAGCACCGGCUAACUUCGUG